ACCCAUCAAUCUAUGUAUCUACCUACCUAUUUAUAUUUAAAUAUUGGUUACAGAGGAGAGUCAAUACUGAGUGUAUCACUGCCCUUCACACCUACAACCUUCCCAAAUCACUGAGAAAUGUGGUUUCAGAUAAUGUGCCCUCCUCCUUCUUAUUUUAAUUUUAAUUCCCUCCUGACUUUAGCUGGUCAACCCUAGCCAAGAACAAACACAAGCAGCAGAUCCAUGGGACUGGGGAAGGUUGCCCGCAUUGAGCUCCCUGCUGGCGCCUUCUGGCUGGACAGUCCGUGCCAAAUAGCGCCUAGGGGAAAAAAAAAACAGCAAGAAGGAACUCGACAGAUGCGGUUGCGGCACGUCUAGGACCACAAUUUGACGGAAAAGGAGAGUGGAGGAGGGUAGCCGGCUGAGAGUCUGCAUCUGGGAGACGCAGCAAUGGAACCAGUGGCAAUGUGUGCGCGCACAGGUGCCACAGGCCUGGCGAGCAAUGCUGUGUCUCUGCAGCCUCCCGGCUCAACACACGCGGCGGCUUGCUGAAACUGCAUCCGCAGCCGAGCGUGGGUACUCCAAGCUACAGACACCGGAGGAAGAGCGGAAGGAAAGGGCGCGAAGGGGGAAGCAUGGAGUGGCAGGUUUUGGGGGCAAGACUCAUAGGCUCAUUUCCGAGCUCCUCUGGUGGGAACCUGUACCCGACUGCUAUGCUCCUCCCUUCUUUUCCCAACUCUCGGUGAUCAUCUCCGUCUCCCCUCGCGCAUCCCUUCCCCCCUCCCUGCUUUCUUUGCUCUCCCUCCCUGCCGCGUGCCUGCUCCCCUCCCCCUCUCCUGUCUGCUCUGGGCAGCGGCAACCUCGGCAGCCUGGGAGAUGGGAAGAGAGCGCGCGGGGCGCUGCACCUCUGGAGCCACCGAUCUUUCCUACUCCGGUGCCCUGAGCCCCCGCCGCCGCUCUCGCCCCCUGGCUACCCACCGAUUCCCGCUACGCUGCUAGGACAGCGCCGCCACCACCGCCAGCCCUCGUCCCGCCCGCGCCUCUCUGCCCUCGCGCGCCCUGGAUGGAGCUUUCCCUUGCUGGGAUCGAUUUAGAAUGUGAUAAGUCAAGUAUCUGAACACAGUGGAGUAGUUCAACACUCAUCUCAGCUUUCCAUGCUAUGUUCUCUACAGUG
This is a long non-coding RNA of Rattus rattus (black rat), 1153 nucleotides long. RefSeq lists it as uncharacterized. Lineage: Eukaryota; Metazoa; Chordata; Mammalia; Rodentia; Muridae. The transcript is spliced from 2 exons. The record is from RefSeq and is a predicted model, not a curated record.